UACGUAGGGUGCAAGCGUUAAUCGGAAUUACUGGGCGUAAAGCGUGCGCAGGCGGUUAUGUAAGACAGGUGUGAAAUCCCCGGGCUUAACCUGGGAACUGCAUUUGUGACUGCAUAGCUAGAGUACGGUAGAGGGGGAUGGAAUUCCGCGUGUAGCAGUGAAAUGCGUAGAUAUCGGAAGGAACAUCAGUGGCGAAAGCGACUUCCUGGACCAAUACUGACGCUCAUGUGCGAAAGCGUGGGGAGCAAACAGG
RNAcentral lists this ribosomal RNA (253 nucleotides) under uncultured bacterium. Its description in RNAcentral is "partial 16S ribosomal RNA". It matches the Rfam family "Bacterial small subunit ribosomal RNA", at positions 524 to 776 of the family's 1533-position model. The record is from RNAcentral.